Molecule: ribosomal RNA, 465 nt
Filed under: uncultured bacterium
Lineage: Bacteria
Description: bacterial SSU rRNA
Rfam family: Bacterial small subunit ribosomal RNA
Source: RNAcentral
CCUACGGGUGGCUGCAGUGGGGAAUCUUCCGCAAUGGGCGCAAGCCUGACGGAGCAAUGCCGCGUGAGCGAAGAAGGUCUUCGGAUCGUAAAGCUCUGUUGUUAGGGAAGAACAAGUAUCGGAGGAAAUGCCGGUACCUUGACGGUACCUGACGAGAAAGCCACGGCUAACUACGUGCCAGCAGCCGCGGUAAUACGUAGGUGGCAAGCGUUGUCCGGAUUUAUUGGGCGUAAAGCGCGCGCAGGCGGUCCUUUAAGUCUGAUGUGAAAUCUUGCGGCUCAACCGCAAGCGGUCAUUGGAAACUGGGGGACUUGAGUGCAGAAGAGGAAAGCGGAAUUCCACGUGUAGCGGUGAAAUGCGUAGAGAUGUGGAGGAACACCAGUGGCGAAGGCGGCUUUCUGGUCUGUAACUGACGCUGAGGCGCGAAAGCGUGGGGAGCAAACCGGAUUAGAUACCCGAGUAGUC